This 386-nucleotide ribosomal RNA is filed under the name Psychrobacillus psychrotolerans. Its description in RNAcentral is "bacterial SSU rRNA". It matches the Rfam family "Bacterial small subunit ribosomal RNA", at positions 279 to 655 of the family's 1533-position model. The record is from RNAcentral. Lineage: Bacteria; Bacillati; Bacillota; Bacilli; Caryophanales; Bacillaceae.
AUGCCUAACCGACCUAACGGGGUGAUCGGCCCCGAUGGGACUGAAACACUGCCCAGACUCCUACCGGAGGGAACAAUUGGGAAUCUUCCACAAUGGAGAAAAAUCUGAUGGACCAACGCCACGUGGGUGAACAAGGUUCUCGGAUCUUUAAACUCGGUUGAGAGGGAAAAACAAGUUCCCGAGUAACUGCCGGUACCUUGACGGGACCUCAUUAGAAACGCACGGCUAACUAGCUGCCAACAUCCCCGGAAAUACUGAAGUGGCAAAGCGUUGUACGGAAUUAGUGGCGCCUAAAUCGCGCGCACGCGGUCCCAUAAGUCUGAUGUGAAUGCCCACGGCCCAACCGUGGAGGGUCAUUGGAAACUGGGGGUCCUGAAUGCACAAUG